UCCAGACUCCUACGGGAGGCAGCAGUGGGGAAUAUUGCACAAUGGGGGGAACCUUGAUGCAGCAACGCCGCGUGGGUGAAGAAGUACUCCGGUAUGUAAAGCCCUGUCAGCAGGGAAGAAAAUGACGGUACCUGACCAAGAAGCCCCGGCUAACUACGUGCCAGCAGCCGCGGUAAUACGUAGGGGGCAAGCGUUAUCCGGAUUUACUGGGUGUAAAGGGAGCGUAGACGGCUGCGCAAGUCUGAAGUGAAAGCCCGGGGCUCAACCCCGGGACUGCUUUGGAAACUGUGUAGCUAGAGUGCUGGAGAGGCAAGCGGAAUUCCUAGUGUAGCGGUGAAAUGCGUAGAUAUUAGGAGGAACACCAGUGGCGAAGGCGGCUUACUGGACUGUAACUGACGUUGAGGCUCGAAAGCGUGGGGAGCAAACAGGAUUAGAUACCCGAGUAAG
This 447-nucleotide ribosomal RNA is filed under the name uncultured bacterium. RNAcentral's name for it is "bacterial SSU rRNA". It matches the Rfam family "Bacterial small subunit ribosomal RNA", at positions 330 to 793 of the family's 1533-position model. The record is from RNAcentral.